AAACUGACGGAACUCUUCGGAGGGAAGGCAGUGGAAUGAGCGGCGGACGGGUGAGUAACACGUAAGGAACCUGCCUCAAGGAUUGGGAUAACUCCGAGAAAUCGGAGCUAAUACCGGAUAGUUCAACGGACCGCAUGGUCCGCUGAUGAAAGGCGCUUCGGCGUCACCUUGAGAUGGCCUUGCGGUGCAUUAGCUAGUUGGUGGGGUAAUGGCCCACCAAGGCGACGAUGCAUAGCCGACCUGAGAGGGUGAUCGGCCACACUGGGACUGAGACACGGCCCAGACUCCUACGGGAGGCAGCAGUAGGGAAUCUUCCACAAUGGACGAAAGUCUGAUGGAGCAACGCCGCGUGAGUGAUGAAGGUUUUCGGAUCGUAAAACUCUGUUGUAAGGGAAGAACACGUACGAGAGGUAAUGCUCGUACCUUGACGGUACCUUACGAGAAAGCCACGGCUAACUACGUGCCAGCAGCCGCGGUAAUACGUAGGUGGCAAGCGUUGUCCGGAAUUAUUGGGCGUAAAGCGCGCGCAGGCGGCCUUUUAAGUCUGAUGUGAAAGCCCCCGGCUCAACCGGGGAGGGCCAUUGGAAACUGGAAGGCUUGAGUACAGAAGAGAAGAGUGGAAUUCCACGUGUAGCGGUGAAAUGCGUAGAGAUGUGGAGGAACACCAGUGGCGAAGGCGACUCUUUGGUCUGUAACUGACGCUGAGGCGCGAAAGCGUGGGGAGCAAACA
RNAcentral lists this ribosomal RNA (730 nucleotides) under bacterium Pu.JQ13. RNAcentral describes it as "bacterial SSU rRNA". It matches the Rfam family "Bacterial small subunit ribosomal RNA", at positions 64 to 774 of the family's 1533-position model. The record is from RNAcentral.